GAUCAAGUUGGAGGAGGUUGCUGUUUUGCACUAAAUUCUCUAAAUUCUCAUAUCUCACUUCCAGACGUGAUCGCUGUGGUUGCAAACCUACCAAAGAAGAUGUAAAGAGAUGCUUCAUGUUGGAAUUUGAUAGAUCUUAAGUUCAAUUACUCUCUGCUGCUACAAGGACAA
Arachis ipaensis is the source of this 171-nucleotide non-coding RNA. Lineage: Eukaryota; Viridiplantae; Streptophyta; Magnoliopsida; Fabales; Fabaceae. The record is from RefSeq and is a predicted model, not a curated record.